Molecule: long non-coding RNA, 3795 nt
Filed under: Homo sapiens (human)
Lineage: Eukaryota; Metazoa; Chordata; Mammalia; Primates; Hominidae
Description: HSALNT0348223
Source: RNAcentral
UUUAAACUUGUUGAAAAAAAUAUCUGUAAUUCUUUCCUCACAUUCUUUCCUCAAAAUCCACUUAAAUCAUACUUUAUUUAAUUCCUAUCACUCCACAAAUUGUCAGAGUCCAGAUAACCAAUGAAUAUAUGGUUCUAAAUGCAUGGUAAAUUAUCUCCUUUAAAUUUCUUACUUGAUUUCUCAGCAGCAUGUGACAGAAUUAAUGAUUCUUUUCUUUUGGAAACACCCUCUCUUGGUUUCUGGGAACCCUCACUCAUCUGGUUUUUCUUUUUAUUCUCAGACUCAUUUGAUAUUAUUUGCUGCUUCACCACUCAGUGUUAGUGUCCCUGAGGCCUGCCUUGCACUACUUUCUCUAUCUAAAAUAUUCACAUGCCUGUAACUGAAUUCAAGGAAAACAAAGCCUGGGGCUAGAAGGAAGUGUAGGAAUCCAAGGAGAAAUAUCCGUGGUAGAUUUCAAUUAAGAAGCUCUGGCAUUAAGCAAAAUAGGUGAAGAAGCUUUACACGUCGUUUCCCUUUUGAGUCGCUCAGCCAAAUUCAUCAGUGUAAAGGAAGAGGCAAGUAUUUAAUUCAAAGUUAAAGAAGUACUCAAACCCAAGAGCCCUUUAAAGAAACAACAUAGGAGUCAGUGAGUGAGUGGGGGAAGCAGCCAAGAUGGACAAACAAGAACAGCUCUGGUCUACAGCUCCCAGCAUGAGCGACGCAGAAGACAGGAAGGACCUCAGGAAACCUGCCCAGCAAUCAUAAAUGCUGCUUUCAUCCUGCAAGUGAUCUUACUUUGCAUGCCACUGAGCCACAGGUUCAUGAGCAAGAGAGUAGAAGUGAAUUUUAUUCUGAUCUUGUCUAGACUGAAGCUGGCACCAUAUUCAAUUAAGGACAUUCCUACAUUGAUUGUCAAGGUGUUGAAAUUUCCACCAUGUAGUUUUUUCUCCACACUCACAGAGAGGCUCACGGUAAACCUCCUAAAGCAUCUUAUUAAAAGAGAAACGCUACAGCCAUAGUCACAGAUGAGCUCUGGUGACUAAAAUCCCACCUACCACUACUUGACUGUUGCGGUCCCUGAAGCCUACAAAAUCGCAGAAUGAUUGCUGGUUCUCAAACCUCUAGGUUACUUUAUGAUUGGGAAUUUUACAUAUAUCCAUUGCCUGAAAUGCCCUUAGCAUCUAUUACCCUUUGAGACUUAGCUUCAAUAUCAAGUAAUGAAGCCUUUCUUAAGUACCUAGAGAAAAUCAGUUUUCCGGUCUUUCAUGCUACCUUUGUACACACAGCUUUCUGUUGUUACCUUUUCAAAUCAAUCAUUUCACCAUUAUUUCUCUAUGCAUUCAUUCAUUAUUUCAACAAAUAUUUAUCGGGUGUUUAAUAUGUUUAUAGCCAUGUGCUAAGCACUGAGGUUAUACUUUGUCGUGACUCCAUGGUUAAACUCCACAGGGACAAGAUCCACACAAAUAUUCUGUGUGAAGGACACAUAAAUAGUUUGGGGGUACAUCAUGCCUAUGACUGAUAUGAAGAAGGUGUAAACAAAUGUAUAUUGAAUUAAAGAAUACCUUAAAUAUUUGUUUGUAAGAGAUAUAGUUUUAGGAUUUGUUACAAUAGUUAGAAAAGGGUUUCAUGAAUAUGGAAUGAAAGCUUAGACUGCAACUGUUUUACAAAGCGCUUUUAAAAGUAACUACUAAAAUAAUCUAGUAACACUUUUAGAGUCAUUUAGAAAAGAAUAAAAUAAUCUUAGCCUAGCUAACAGGAUGUUCCAAUAAAACUAUUGUGAAGUGGUAGGACUCUUGAUUAUGGUGAGAAUGGGUCAGAAUGGAUGAAUCAACACAUUUGUGUAAAGAAUAAUAUCUAGAAAUGAUGACAAUGUAUAUUUGAAAGAAAAGAGUAUUAAAAAUGUCUUUAAAUUUUCCAAUUUGUUGUACUCAUAGGAAAAUAGGAGGUGAAAAUGAAAUACUUAGAGAUGGUGUCUUAAUUUAUUUCAAGAAUUUGAGGUAAAAAGGAACUGCUCUGCCCUGUUAAUAUGUGAGAUGAGCAAUUUAGGAGGGAGGUCAGACUGGAAAAGUGAAUUUACUGAACACCAUGAUAGUCAUGUUGUUUAAUGACUUAAGAAUAGACAGUAAAAGAGGUUCUCCUAUCAUAGCCCUACAUCCUCUGGAAAUACAUGCUACAUUAAAAUUUAUAUUUCUAUUUCCAUAUGCUUGGUAUGACUAAUGGCAGAAACUGUGAAGAAUCCUAGGAGAAAAAUGGUCUGCAUUUGCUUCAGACUUAUUGCAAAGUGUAUGUAUGAAGGAAAACAUUACUUCUAAUUCUACCAGACCAUCACCUGCAUGAGUCCCUGUGAUGCUUCCCAAAUCCAUCCAAAUGCUUAACUGAAGCUUGAAUUUAUUAUUUUCAAGUUCGAUGUAAAAGUUCUUCUUUUUAAACUUGACACUGUAUACUGUGGCUUAAAUAUUUAAGCAAGGCUCUUUCGAAGAUUGAGGAAGAAACACUCACACAUCAAAAGUAUCUAAUGUUUAAUUCAGCGAGGUAAGCUUUCUCAAACUCUGAAGCUUAUGUGAAGCUGUUUGGAAUUUUUUCAAAGGUCUUUUAUCUCUAAAUCAAAACAGAAUUUUUUUUAAAAAAAUUAUAAUAAUUCUUCAAAACAGAAAUAACUUCUGUCAGAGUUCUUUGGUUUCUACCUAAAAGAAACAGUUACGUGGCAAUUGUUUAUUUAUUUCUACAUGAACCCAACAUGUUCAAAUUCUAAAAGAUUUAGACAAGCUUGCUUCAGUCAUACAUAAAGAUUUUGAAAACUUAUUAUUCAAGCCAACUAAGAUUCUUGCUAGAAAACUCAAACAAAGAACAAUAAUUGGUUUGAAAACUGCAGAAUAUACUUUGUAGAUUAUGACUCUUCAUUGAUAAACAGAUAAGUAAACACCCACAAAUCAAUAUGUAAACAAUAGAACUGGCUAUUAAGUUUUUGCUAAAAGAUCUUCCUUGAGAGAGUUUAUAGAAUUUGCUAAUUUUUUCUUUUUUGUCUUAUUUAAUGUUAGUUAUCAAAGCCAAGUCUUCCCAGACCCUUACUAAUUAAUCUCAACAAUUUGUUUUUGAAAUUUUGAAAACAUAGAAAUAUUAGGAGAAUCUCCACUGGAGUGAUUCAAGAGAGUUCUAAAACAUGGAGACUGACAAAAACAUUCAGAUAGAAAUCUGCAGUUAAUAGUAAUAAAAUGACGGCAGUCACUGUGAUGAUAUGAUAAUUGUGAUGAUUAGGCUGCUGGUUUGGAAUCCUGGAUAAAUCUCUUAAACUAGCUUUAUGGCUUUUAGCAAGUUAUGUAACCUUUGAAAUAUUCACCUGGUUUUUAAAACCACAUUCUGUGGAUGUAAGAUCUAAAUAAGAUAACCCAUAUAAAUAAUGUAGUAUGUCUCGCACAUACUAAGCGCAUGCUAAGACUUUCCCCAUGCUUUCUUUUUUUUGGCUUCUUUUAUUAUUAUUAUUAUUAUUAUACUUUAAAUUCUAGGGUACACUUGCACAACAUCCAUGUUUUAAGUCUCCACCCACUUGUCCUUGAAAAUUCUAAUCUCUUUUGUUUACCAAGGCCAGUGAUAAUGAAGUCUUAUGAUAAAACCUGUUCCUAUAACAUUCCUUCUAGUCAUUACACAUUUUAAUCUCUCGUUUAUUAAGUUAGGUGCCUGUAAUAAUAACAUUUUCUAGAAUAUUUUUUACUGCUUUUAGCAUGGCUAACUUUUUUCACCUUUCCUUCAGUAAAUGCUGCCUCAUUUUAAGGUUUAUUCUGAACACCCAAUAUAAAGUAAUCCCCUCACAAUCUAGAC